Molecule: long non-coding RNA, 2680 nt
Organism: Chelonia mydas (Green sea turtle)
Lineage: Eukaryota; Metazoa; Chordata; Testudines; Cheloniidae
Exons: 4
Source: RefSeq, a predicted model, not a curated record
UUCCCUCUCUUUCUGGGAAAGACUGACUGGAGAAGGUCACAGACUGGAAUUAAUUCCUGUGCCAGGUCUGGGAAAGGGGCAGGGCGUAGAGAGGCAGUCCUGAGGGACUGGAAUUCUAGCAGAGAAAGAGAGAGCUGGCAGGACCUAGGGAGAAACCAGAAAAGCAGCCAUGUUAAGUGCAGGUUGCAGGGAAACAGUAUGAGGGGCUCAGAGAUAGGAAGUGGCUCAGGAAAACAGCAGCACACCUGAAGGAGCAGGCGUAGCUGUUUAAUACGUGCCUGGAAACCAGAGUAGAGAGUGGGACUAAGUUCCCGUGCAAGCCUUGAGGAAGGGGCAUAGAAGCCCAACAGAGAGAACAGAAGGAUCUUCUGCGUUAGUAUGCCUUUGGACUUAAGCUGUAUUUUUGUUAGUUGGGGAAAUAAAUUGUGACGUGACUAGAGGGCCAAGUCACCAAAAGAGGCAGAUCACUGUGGUACCAGAGUGACCUAUGGCAGAGUGCACUCCACAGGAGAAAACUACUACGCCAUGCCCAACCACAAAAGGGUGCUUUGUUGGCACUUCUGCUUUUGGCUACUGUCAGGUGACUGAACUAGAUAGACCUCUGGUCUGAUCCAAUAAGACCCAGCCUUAUGUGCACUGGGCAACCUGCUGCUGCUAUGGGCUGACAUCUUUUCUUUGUCCAUUGGAUCCCAGCUUCUCUACUCCCCAGCCCAGAACAGCCAUUUGGGAUAUUGUCCCCUGUCACAGCCCCAGGGAUGUGAAGAAGGAAGGAGAGAAGACAGGACAUACAGGAAACCACCGUUUGUGAGCAGCUUCAGGAUUCACAUCUCCUGCACUGGAGGGAGAGCUCAGGAGUCCCUGUUGAAAUGGCACCGCUCCACUGGGAGGGCAAUCUAGUGUGAUUUCUCUGCUGGUGGUGAAGUUGAUCUUAAAACAGGACUGCUAAACUCAUUUAGUUGGAGAGUUGUAACUAAGGUCCAUGAGCCAGGGUAUACAUUUCAGGACUACAUACUCCCCUUGAUUCACACCAGAACUCCCACUGACAUCAGUAGGAGGUUUGCACUAAUAUCGCUGGAAGAACAGGGUCUGUAUUUGGUAACUAAACUUUAAUUUAUUGUCCCUGCCAGAGAUGGUAUGCUUGGGGCUAAUAAAAAUACUUCUGAAGAGCCUUUGGGAUGCACACAAUUAUCCCAAACAUCAGGUGUUUAAAAAAAAUCCAACUUCUUGUGUUAGAACCCUGCAGAACCCCCCACCGCAAUGUCUGCCCAACUUCUUCAAAUUAGACUCAGUAUAUUUUUCAGGGACAAAGUAUGAACACUUCCAAAUAGUUUGCUCAAUGUUCUUGUUCCAAGUGGAGUGGUUUCCUGCAUUGGUUAUGGACAGAAAAAGUGCUGAAAUGGGAAAACAAUUUUUAGAUUCCCCAGUCCCUUCCCCCUCAGUAUCAUGAGGCAGUUUACGGUGGCUUCUGUUAGACAGAGACACACACACACACACACACACACACACACACACACACUGUGCCUACUCUGGAGACUUGGUUUUGUUCGUUCUUAUGCUUACUCCAUAAAUAAUUCUGAGAGUUGAAUUUGGGAACCAAAGUGAGGAUAUUGGCAGGCAGAGGGGAAGGUAGUUCUUGUGCUACGAAACGUGUGUGAGUGGUGAGGAGUUAGAGGGAGGGAUAGCGAGGUAGUGCCUGCAUCUUUGAGGGGUUAGGAGAGAGUGAUGGGCGGUGGGUGGAGAAGUAUAUAAGUCAGGAAUGACUGCUUUCCAACAUACACGAGUGUUUCUCCCUCUUCAGCUACAGUACUUGCACUCUUUCCACUAAGCUGCCCCUACUGCCUCAGCUCACCCAUUCCCAAACCCCAACCUGGGCCCCCACUGUUUCGCACUGGACCCUUCCUCUUGAAUCCAUUCCUGCUCUCAUUUCAUGGAAGAGGUUUGGGAGGUAGGCAAAGGUGAUGGCAGACACAAUGCAGAGAACAAGAUUGCUCCAAAUGCAUAGGCAAUGGAGAUCUGUGCCCUAAAGCUUAGCAUUGUUCCUGUUGUAAAUUCACAAGGAAUCCAUCACAACUUGAAGCAGUCUGCUGUAGGGACACUAUUACUACAUAUGUGAUAGUCUGCUCUCUUAACUAAACACACGAGGUGGUCAAAAGGUCUAAAGAUCUUGGCUAUAGAUUUCAAUAAAAUACAUAGGUUAAAAAAGCAAAUUUUAUAUGCUUUUGGACAGACAAACCAGAACAUUAAUUUGUAGCUUUACCAUGGAAACAUCAAAGCUAAGCUCUCUGGUAUUCUAAGAAAUACUCUUUAAAUAGCAUAUUGUGUCAUUAAGAAAAAAUAUUUCCCAGGGCAGAAUGAAACAAUGAAUUAAUUUGCUGCGAGUGCCCUAGACCCAUCAGGGAAGCUUAUGUGUUUUUCAAUUGUCUGAAUUACCAUUCUUAUCUAAACUGAUCUAUUGAUCAGUAAUGAUCUAAAAACCCUCAGGGCAUGACUGAUGAGUGAGAAAAAUCCAAUAAGCUCUCUUCCAUACUAGAAUACAAAUAAGUUAAAAUGCUAUUGUACCCUUCUAGAAAACCUGGGAGACACUGAAUGAAUUUGUAAACAGAUCUUCUGGAUGCCAUAGGCUGACCUUGAGCUCUGUUAGUAAUUUCUGAGAUUUGUUUGAAUAAAUGUCUUUCACUUC